This 321-nucleotide RNase P RNA is filed under the name Fimbriimonas sp. Its description in RNAcentral is "RNase P RNA component class A". It matches the Rfam family "Bacterial RNase P class A". From Rfam's summary of the family: Ribonuclease P (RNase P) is a ubiquitous endoribonuclease, found in archaea, bacteria and eukarya as well as chloroplasts and mitochondria. Its best characterised activity is the generation of mature 5'-ends of tRNAs by cleaving the 5'-leader elements of precursor-tRNAs. Lineage: Bacteria; Bacillati; Armatimonadota; Fimbriimonadia; Fimbriimonadales; Fimbriimonadaceae. The record is from RNAcentral.
GGAGCUGGUCGGACGGCGGCCCGUAAGGGAGGAAAGUCCGGACUUCACAGAGCAGGGCGCCCAGCAAGACUUCGGUCAAGCUGGGGCGGGGCGAUCCGACGGAAAGUGCAACAGAAACAUACCGCCGAUGCGCAAGCAGGUAAGGGUGAAAUGGUGAGGUAAGAGCUCACCGGCGACGUGGGUAACCACUCGGCCGUGCAAACCCCGCCUGAAGCAAGGCCAAAUAGGGAGAGGAUGACGCUGCUCGCCGACUCUCCGGGUUGGCCGCGUAGAUAAAUCGCCGUACAAACACAGAAUCCGGCUUACAGGCCGGCUCCAAGA